UCUAAUUCAAAACUUCACACACAUAUCUAAACCUUUGCGCCGAAGACCACCAAUCUCUCCUCUUCCCCUCUCUUCUCUGCGCCGCCAGCACCACUCAUAUUCUCCAUCUAAUUUUGAUUCAAGAAAGGCAUAUGUAGCCUGAAUCCGACCCCAUUAUCCCAAUAUAAUGUUGUCUUGCAAAUACAAUCUAUUAUAUGGUUCAUGAUGCAUGGAUGAUGAGACCAGAGAAGUUCAACAACAUUAUUCAACAGCUUAUCGACCCGUUAGAGAGUUGAUUCAGCGAGAAAGAAAAAGGAUAUUGUAAGUAUACUAACACACUCUCAACCGUCUUUUCUAUCAUGCAUAUAUGUGGGUUUAAUCAUGAUUGUUCGGGUUCAUUUACACGUUCGAGUUGGACCAUUUCGGUGCAGAUAUGGAGACUAAAUGAGUUAAUGGGUAAAAGGGCCAUUUACUAAAUGUUGUGUAUGUGAGGCUGGUUUGUGGAUCAGAUAGUAAUUGUUUUAAUAAAGGCAUGGGUUGUGAUAAUUGUUAUUCGUAAUCAAAUAUAAUGUUCAUAGAAUUAUGCAGGCACAAGAUACUGUCAACUUUGCUCAACCAUUCCACAGGAUCCAGCCAUCCAGGUAGGAAAGUAACCCCGCUUAAAAAUGUGUGUUUUUAUUAUAUACUUGCAUUUGGACGAGUGAUUCGCGUGUUGCGGUCAUGCAUUACAAGUAUGAGGAUGAAGCACAGAAGGUGUGGAUAGCUAGGUGGUGUUGCAGACUCUACAGGGCAUUUACAUAGCUAAAAAUCAAGGAGUUACUUAUCUUUUUCCUGGUCGUCCUUCAAUAGCUGAAGUUUUCCAAACAGGCAAGCAAAGACACAUACCUAACAAAGAUUUCAAAUCUGGUAAGAGCUUGCUGCCAAAGUUGCCAAGAAGUAGCUGUAUGAUAGCAGUGCUGCAACUUUUUUGUUGUAUCUUUCAACUACCUUAUGUUUGAAUUUGCAAUGUUUUAUGUUAAGCCUUAUAAAUAAAAGUUGGAUAUUUAUACUUUCUUUAUAUUAUUGUAUCUCUAUAGCUAAACAAAAAUGUUUCGUGUACUUUGAAGUAAAUAAUUAUUAUGUUUAACCCGGUCAACGACCGGGUCUAGAUCUAGUUCUUAUUGGAA
Erigeron canadensis is the source of this 1145-nucleotide long non-coding RNA. RefSeq lists it as uncharacterized. NCBI's taxonomy places the organism in Eukaryota, Viridiplantae, Streptophyta, Magnoliopsida, Asterales, Asteraceae. The transcript is spliced from 6 exons. The record is from RefSeq and is a predicted model, not a curated record.